RNAcentral lists this ribosomal RNA (296 nucleotides) under uncultured microorganism. Its description in RNAcentral is "partial 16S ribosomal RNA". It matches the Rfam family "Bacterial small subunit ribosomal RNA", at positions 505 to 796 of the family's 1533-position model. The record is from RNAcentral.
GUGCCCAGCAGCCCACGAUUAAUACGUAGGGUGCAAGCGUUGUCCGGAUUUAUUGGGCGUAAAGCGAAGCGCAGCGGUUUCUUAAGUCUKGAUGUGAAAGCCCCCGGCUCAACCGGGGAGGGUCAUUGGAAACUGGGAGACUUGAGUGCAGAAGAGGAGAGUGGAAUUCCAUGUGUAGCGGUGAAAUGCGUAGAUAUAUGGAGGAACACCAGUGGCGAAGGCGGCUCUCUGGUCUGUAACUGACGMUGAGGCUCGAAAGCGUGGGGAGCAAACAGGAUUAGAUACCCUGGUAGUCC